GAUGAAGAACGCAGCGAAAUGCGAUACGUAAUGUGAAUUGCAGAAUUCAGUGAAUCAUCGAGUCUUUGAACGCACAUUGCGCCCCCUGGUAUUCCGGGGGGCAUGCCUGUCCGAGCGUCAUUGCUGCCCUCAAGCACGGCUUGUGUGUUGGGCCUCCGUCCUCCUCCCGGGGGACGGGCCCGGAAGGCAGCGGCGGCACCGCGUCCGGUCCUCGAGCGUAUGGGGCUUCGUCACCCGCUCUUGUAGGCCCGGCCGGCGCUUGCCGACACAUCAAUCUUUUUUCCAGGUUGACCUCGGAUCAGGUAGGGAUACCCGCUGAACUUAAGCAUAUCAAUAAGCGGAGGA
This 345-nucleotide unclassified non-coding RNA is filed under the name soil metagenome. RNAcentral's name for it is "partial contains 5.8S ribosomal RNA, internal transcribed spacer 2, and large subunit ribosomal RNA". The stretch from base 1 to 120 matches the Rfam family "5.8S ribosomal RNA", at positions 35 to 154 of the family's 154-position model. The record is from RNAcentral.